Athalia rosae (coleseed sawfly) is the source of this 806-nucleotide long non-coding RNA. RefSeq lists it as uncharacterized. NCBI's taxonomy places the organism in Eukaryota, Metazoa, Arthropoda, Insecta, Hymenoptera, Athaliidae. The record is from RefSeq and is a predicted model, not a curated record. The transcript is spliced from 2 exons.
ACAUCCUAUUAUUUCAAUAACAAUGAGAUCAAAAUAUUUUCGUUCACCAUGUACUUGUAAAAAAACUUCAAAUUCGUAUGGCUACACCAGGUCUUCAAACGGUCUGAUCCGCAGUUAUACCCAGAUAACUAUUGAAUAGUAAAGAGUUAUUCGCACACUGCUUAUGGAAUUGAUUUCUGAUAUUUUCAUUCAUGAACCAGAGAAAACGGUCAGAAGUGAGACACGAAGUCUCUUGACACGAAAGCAUGAAAGCCAUUUAACCAUCACUUGUGAUGAUAUGAAAGAAAAGAUGUCACCACGAGAAUUGAAUUUUGAACGAAACGUAUCGGUUACUGUAAAAUUUAUAUUUCAAUAAACAGUGGUACCCAGUAUUGCACGUAUACCACGCGGAUCAGAAAAUCCUGUAUUGCAGUGUCUACGGACUUCUCUAGUCACUAAACUCAUUUUUAGAGACAACGCGAAUGUCGGAGAACAAUUGUGUCUAAUAGAUCAUUAGGUUCCGUUUACCCCCAUGUACUCGAAACCACCACUAAUAGAGGAUAUCCUGGACCGUGUGUGUACGGACAUCACACUUUUGACAUACCUAAUACGCAUAAUUAUGUUGUUCCACGUAAAAAGACGAGGCAAUUCCGAGUUUGCUCUAAUUUGCCAAUUAUAAAUAAGACGCACAGAAAGGACACAUACAGGCAGACCAGAUGACAUACGUGGCAAUCUCACUCAUACACAUCGUCCAAUUUAAUGUUUCUAUUAUUCCACGCUAUGAUUGUACGAUCUCAAAAGAAACUAAAUAGAACCUUUAGAUGAAA